RNAcentral lists this long non-coding RNA (287 nucleotides) under Brassica napus (rape). Its description in RNAcentral is "long non-coding RNA (BNAP_LNC025346)". Lineage: Eukaryota; Viridiplantae; Streptophyta; Magnoliopsida; Brassicales; Brassicaceae. The record is from RNAcentral.
AGAUCUAACAAUGUAACGAAAACUACUAAAUGUAUACUCUAACAAUGAGAUAAGAAUGUAACGAAAACUAUUAAAUGUAAUCUCUAACAACAUCAAUAAUCGUACUGGUCUACUCCGGGUUUCAACCAUCUAAGUUAUUCAACGAAAGAAUCUUCAGCUCCUGAGAGUCGAGCUGACUACAAAAAAUACUAUACAUGUUAUAACAUAUCACCGAUAAUGUAACGAAUAAUCUUUGAUGCUUUCAGACCAAUCUACACAACUCGCCAACAUAAAUUCCCCAACUAAAC